GCUGACGUUAGUGAAAUGACAUUGUUUAGCUAGUUAAUGACAAAAUGAUGGCCAGCCGGAUAGCGCCUUGCUGCUAACGUUAGAUAUUGUGGCUAUACCGAGUUUUUAGCCAGGAUAAACAACCAGUUGCGUUUAUAACGUUAUAGCUAGCCAAUACAUGAUUUUCAACACAGCAUUGUUGAUUAGCAUGCUAUCCACUACUAUAAUAAGUUGGGAUAUCUUAUAUUGUCUAGCUUGCUGCUAACCCCAAUUGAACGGUAACUGCUUUGUAUACUGUAUUCCCUGGCGAUGGCUACUGUAGCUACCAGUCAACACAACAUGGGUAUACUUAUCUAUGUGAAGGAACAUGAACAUGGACCCUUGAACUCAAGAAAUGACAACACCCCCCCGGCACAAUCUAGUAACAUUUUUUUAGUUUUUAUCUGUUUUGUUUGGUUUUCCAUCUCUGUCUUUGAUGGAAAACAACUAAUUAUGUGGCAUUUUUCAUUCAGAUGACACUUAGCAACGCGGUCCAUGUCCAAUUCUAUCUCACUACUGUAAAGCCUGCUUGUCUCUUGAAGAGUGAUAUUUAAAUUCUACCUUGACACACCUUUCUCCUGCCUCCACAUAUCUCUCAUUUCUGUGGAAGAUCGGGACGUUUGACGUCAGCACUUACCACACAAUAUUCCACUGCAAUCUAGUGCUAAUUAAAUUGCUAUAGCCUCCUUGCAAGACCAAGGUGUGUUCAUUUUUGUCUGAUUCAUAGUUAAGAUUUGUUGUAUUUUAUGUUAUUUAAACUCUUGUUUGACAUGUAGCCGUCAUUUCUAAGCUGCACUUUAUUGAUAAAUAUCAAGAUCAUUUCAAACUGUAAUUUAAGCAUAUCUUUGAGUUAUGUAUAUUUUUUUUAUCUUUAGGAGUAUAUAUAUUCUGUUUUAAUUUUAAACUGGAAAAGUAUAUUGUUUUUGUUUACAAGCCUCAUCUGUCUAUCAUUCCGAAAUGGACAAAUCUAGAAUCUGAUAGCAUUUAAGGACAAGGC
This is a long non-coding RNA of Oncorhynchus tshawytscha (Chinook salmon), 1015 nucleotides long. NCBI's taxonomy places the organism in Eukaryota, Metazoa, Chordata, Actinopteri, Salmoniformes, Salmonidae. The record is from Ensembl.